CAGAAUGUAGUUUAAAAUUAAAAUAUUAGUUUUGGAGACUAAUGAUAUUAUUAAAAUUUUUAUUCUGA
This 68-nucleotide transfer RNA is filed under the name Teliapsocus conterminus. Its description in RNAcentral is "tRNA-Pro". The record is from RNAcentral. Lineage: Eukaryota; Metazoa; Arthropoda; Insecta; Psocodea; Amphipsocidae.